AUGGUCAGCGAAGAGCAAAGUGCGGCGUGUGGAUGGAUCGAGAUCGAUCAAUGGCGAUGGAUGCAUGCAUGGUGGAGUGGAUUACGUACUUCGGAAGAGGUGGUUCUCGAGGCUGCCCUUGGGCAUGAACUCGUAGACGAGGAGGAGGUCGCGGUCGUCGCCGUCGCCGCAGUAGCCCAGCAGCCUCACCAGGUUCGGGUGCUGCAGCCGCCCCAGGAAGUUCACCUCCGACUGCGCUUGCCAUACACAAAAAAACGAGUUGCCACGUUAGCACAACACGCCGGUGAGGUUUUCAAUUUCAGUGAAAUUCCAAUCAGAUUCACUGAAUUUAAUAAUUUCAGUAGACACUCAAAUAUUUACCUUUUGACCCAAAUAUUUCAGCAAUUUCACUAG
Molecule: ribosomal RNA, 393 nt
Filed under: Triticum aestivum (bread wheat)
Lineage: Eukaryota; Viridiplantae; Streptophyta; Magnoliopsida; Poales; Poaceae
Description: partial small subunit ribosomal RNA
Source: RNAcentral